AUGCCCAUGGGCAGCCCAUUGUCC
Molecule: non-coding RNA, 24 nt
Filed under: Arabidopsis thaliana (thale cress)
Lineage: Eukaryota; Viridiplantae; Streptophyta; Magnoliopsida; Brassicales; Brassicaceae
Source: RNAcentral